GACGAACGCUGGCGGCAUGCCUAAUACAUGCAUGUCGAGCGGACAGAAGGGAGCUUGCUCCCGGAAGUCAGCGGCGGACGGGUGAGUAACACGUGGGCAACCUGCCCCUUAGAUUGGGAUAACUUCGGGAAACCGAAGCUAAUACCGAAUAAUACAAGGAACCUCCUGGUUCUCUGUUGAAAGAUGGCCUUUGUGCUGUCACUAAGGGAUGGGCCCGCGGCGCAUUAGCUAGUUGGUAAGGUAACGGCUUACCAAGGCGACGAUGCGUAGCCGACCUGAGAGGGUGAUCGGCCACACUGGGGCUGAGACACGGCCCAGACUCCUACGGGAGGCAGCAGUAGGGAAUCUUCCGCAAUGGACGAAAGUCUGACGGAGCAAUGCCGCGUGAGUGAGGAAGGCCUUCGGGUCGUAAAGCUCUGUUGUGAGGGAAGAACAAGUACCGGCGUAACUACCGGUACCGUGACGGUACCUCACCAGAAAGCCACGGCUAACUACGUGCCAGCAGCCGCCGUAA
Molecule: ribosomal RNA, 514 nt
Filed under: uncultured bacterium
Lineage: Bacteria
Description: partial 16S ribosomal RNA
Rfam family: Bacterial small subunit ribosomal RNA
Source: RNAcentral